GGCACUGCCUAGGCGGGAGGGUAGCAGUCUCCUAUUUCGCAAAUCUGCUUUACGGCGGGCUGUAGGCUUUGGGCGGCUUAGUGCGCAGUCAUUGCCUCACCCUAGGGCGUCGAAGCUUCGUCCUGUGGGGCCAAGUGCUUUGUGAACCGUGCGAGAUCCGGAAGGAAGCAGCACUAAAUAAAACAUGAGGCGCUCUCAGAAAACGGAGUGGAGCUUUAGCAUGAGAUUAACAAUAUCCAGCGGCUAUUCCCACCAAGGCGGCAGUGCU
RNAcentral lists this signal recognition particle RNA (268 nucleotides) under archaeon. RNAcentral's name for it is "signal recognition particle sRNA". It matches the Rfam family "Bacterial large signal recognition particle RNA". From Rfam's summary of the family: The signal recognition particle (SRP) is a universally conserved ribonucleoprotein involved in the co-translational targeting of proteins to membranes. RNAcentral also lists the same sequence under 1 other name. The record is from RNAcentral.